RNAcentral lists this ribosomal RNA (800 nucleotides) under uncultured bacterium. RNAcentral's name for it is "bacterial SSU rRNA". It matches the Rfam family "Bacterial small subunit ribosomal RNA", at positions 60 to 825 of the family's 1533-position model. The record is from RNAcentral.
CGUCUCCGUUGAUGAUUUUAGGUGCUUGCACUUGAAAGAUUUCACAUUGAGACGAGUGGCGAACUGGUGAGUAACACGUGGGUAACCUGCCCUUGAAGUAGGGGAUAACACUUGGAAACAGGUGCUAAUACCGUAUAACAACCAAAACCACCUGGUUUUGGUUUAAAAGACGGCUUCGGCUGUCACUUUAGGAUGGACCCGCGGCGCAUUAGCUUGUUGGUAAGGUAACGGCUUACCAAGGCGAUGAUACGUAGCCGACCUGAGAGGGUAAUCGGCCACAUUGGGACUGAGACACGGCCCAAACUCCUACGGGAGGCAGCAGUAGGGAAUCUUCCACAAUGGACGAAAGUCUGAUGGAGCAACGCCGCGUGAGUGAUGAAGGGUUUCGGCUCGUAAAACUCUGUUGUUGGAGAAGAACAGGUGUCAGAGUAACUGUUGACAUCUUGACGGUAUCCAACCAGAAAGCCACGGCUAACUACGUGCCAGCAGCCGCGGUAAUACGUAGGUGGCAAGCGUUGUCCGGAUUUAUUGGGCGUAAAGCGAGCGCAGGCGGUUUUUUAGGUCUGAUGUGAAAGCCUUCGGCUUAACCGGAGAAGUGCAUCGGAAACCGGGAGACUUGAGUGCAGAAGAGGACAGUGGAACUCCAUGUGUAGCGGUGAAAUGCGUAGAUAUAUGGAAGAACACCAGUGGCGAAGGCGGCUGUCUGGUCUGUAACUGACGCUGAGGCUCGAAAGCAUGGGUAGCGAACAGGAUUAGAUACCCUGGUAGUCCAUGCCGUAAACGAUGAGUGCUAAGUGUUG